This 667-nucleotide small RNA is filed under the name uncultured Butyricicoccus sp. Lineage: Bacteria; Bacillati; Bacillota; Clostridia; Eubacteriales; Butyricicoccaceae. The record is from RNAcentral.
AUUUGCGUGACGCAGUAUCUCUAGUCAGGCGACUACUCUCUAAGACGGGCCUAAAAAUCCGUUAAAGGGCAUAUCGAUGAAGUCUCUGGUGCCUGCUUCUUACGCCCAGUUUGGGGUGGGUGCUGGGGGUUAAGGCUUUAGGGCGCGUUUCAAUGGCAUGAAAUACCGACCCUAUUGCCGUGGAGACCCGACUCUGUGGGCCACCUAUAGCAUUCUCCGUGAAUUGAUGGAUGACCUACGGACCGGGGUGAAACCUGUAUUGCGGUGCGGCGAAAGACGUAUCCGGGCGACCGGCCAGUCGCUCUCUUACGCCGCCUCAAAGCGCUGUGUGCAGAGUAGCCUGCCUUGAGUGGUUAUGGUGGAUUCGAUACCCACUCGCCCGCUUAUGGCCAUAAGCCGGGCGAGCAUUGAUCGAUGAAACCAUGGCUGCAAAAGAGGCUAAGGAGUAGCUUUGUCCUGUUGUGGAAAUCACCUAGACUGUCUGAAAUACGGGCAGGCGCGGGAUUGCAGUGCGGACUGAGUGGCAAUUCGGUCCCGGAAGUGGCAACACUCCGGCUCGAACUCUAAGGGGAAACCACCGGAGCGGCGACGCACGGCAGUUCGCGGGGAAAUCCAACCGAACCUAAGCCGCAAGAUUUACCGGGCCUGCUGUCACAUUCUUUUGUUU